This 425-nucleotide ribosomal RNA is filed under the name uncultured bacterium. Its description in RNAcentral is "bacterial SSU rRNA". It matches the Rfam family "Bacterial small subunit ribosomal RNA", at positions 354 to 776 of the family's 1533-position model. The record is from RNAcentral.
GUAGGGAAUAUUGGUCAAUGGGGGCAACCCUGAACCAGCCAUGCCGCGUGAAGGAUGACAGCCCUCUGGGUUGUAAACUUCUUUUAUUAGGGAAGAAACCUUGGGAUUUAUCCCAAACUGACGGUACCUAAAGAAUAAGCACCGGCUAACUCCGUGCCAGCAGCCGCGGUAAUACGGAGGGUGCAAGCGUUAUCCGGAUUUACUGGGUUUAAAGGGUGCGUAGGCGGGACAAUAAGUCAGUGGUGAAAGCCUCCAGCUUAACUGGAGAAUUGCCAUUGAAACUGUAGUUCUUGAGUAUAGUUGAUGUGGGCGGAAUGUGGCAUGUAGCGGUGAAAUGCAUAGAUAUGCCACAGAACACCGAUUGCGAAGGCAACUCACAAAACUAUUACUGACGCUGAGGCACGAAAGCGUGGGUAGCGAACAGG